RNAcentral lists this ribosomal RNA (277 nucleotides) under uncultured bacterium. RNAcentral describes it as "partial 16S ribosomal RNA". It matches the Rfam family "Bacterial small subunit ribosomal RNA", at positions 29 to 329 of the family's 1533-position model. The record is from RNAcentral.
AGCGAACGCUGGCGGCAUGCUUAACACAUGCAAGUCGCACGGGCAGCUUCGGUUGUCAGUGGCGGACGGGUGAGUAACGCGUAGGGAUUUAUCGUUGGGUGGGGGAUAACCUUGGGAAACUGGGGCUAAUACCGCAUGACGCCUGUGGGCCAAAGCAGUGAUGCGCCUGACGAGGAGCCUGCGUCCGAUUAGCUAGUUGGUUGGGUAAUGGCUGACCAAGGCGACGAUCGGUAGCUGGUCUGAGAGGAUGAUCAGCCACACUGGGACUGAGACACGG